RNAcentral lists this ribosomal RNA (598 nucleotides) under uncultured bacterium. RNAcentral's name for it is "bacterial SSU rRNA". It matches the Rfam family "Bacterial small subunit ribosomal RNA", at positions 1 to 616 of the family's 1533-position model. The record is from RNAcentral.
CCCGCGUACGAUUCGCCUUGAGUUUGAUCAUGGCUCAGGACGAACGCUGGCGGCGCGCCUUACGCAUGCAAGUCGCACGGACCUUCGGGUUAGUGGCGGACGGCUGAGUAACGCGUAGGUAACCUAUCCAGUGGUGGGGGAUAACUCGCUGAAAGGCGAGCUAAUACCGCAUGUGUUCCCGGAGUGAGACCCUCCGGGAGGAAAGCCGCAAGGCACCACUUGAGGGGCCUGCGUCCUAUCAGGUAGUUGGUAGGGUAACGGCCUACCAAGCCUGUGACGGGUAGCUGGUCUGAGAGGACGACCAGCCAGAAGGGGACUGAGACACGGCCCCUACUCCUACGGGAGGCAGCAGCGAGGAAUCUUGGGCAAUGGGCGAAAGCCUGACCCAGCGACGCCGCGUGGAGGAUGAAGGCCUUCGGGUCGUAAACUCCUUUUGUGAGGGAAGAAGUUCUGACGGUACCUCACGAAUAAGCCACGGCUAACUACGUGCCAGCAGCCGCGGUAAUACGUAGGUGGCAAGCGUUGUCCGGAUUUACUGGGCGUAAAGGGCUUGUAGGCGGUUCGUUAAGUCCGGUGUGAAAUCUCCCGGCUCAACUGG